This 122-nucleotide ribosomal RNA is filed under the name Blautia luti DSM 14534 = JCM 17040. RNAcentral's name for it is "partial 16S ribosomal RNA". It matches the Rfam family "Bacterial small subunit ribosomal RNA", at positions 1418 to 1533 of the family's 1533-position model. Lineage: Bacteria; Bacillati; Bacillota; Clostridia; Lachnospirales; Lachnospiraceae. The record is from RNAcentral.
CGCCCGAAGUCAGUGACCUAACCGAAAGGGAGGAGCUGCCGAAGGCGGGACCGAUGACUGGGGUGAAGUCGUAACAAGGUAGCCGUAUCGGAAGGUGCGGCUGGAUCACCUCCUUUCUAAGG